Molecule: ribosomal RNA, 253 nt
Filed under: uncultured bacterium
Lineage: Bacteria
Description: partial 16S ribosomal RNA
Rfam family: Bacterial small subunit ribosomal RNA
Source: RNAcentral
UACGUAGGUGGCAAGCGUUGUCCGGAUUUACUGGGCGUAAAGAGCGCGCAGGCGGUCGUCCAAGCCGCGUGUGAAAGCCCCCGGCUCAACUGGGGAGGGUCACGCGAUACUGGUCGACUCGAAGGCAGGAGAGGGUAGUGGAAUUCCCGGUGUAGUGGUGAAAUGCGUAGAUAUCGGGAGGAACACCAGUGGCGAAGGCGACUACCUGGCCUGUUCUUGACGCUGAGGCGCGAAAGCUAGGGGAGCAAACGGG